CAGUAGCCGCGGUAAAACGUAGGGUGCAAGCGUUAAUCGGAAUUACUGGGCGUAAAGCGUGCGUAGGUGGUGGUUUAAGUCCGUUGUGAAAGCCCUGGGCUCAACCUGGGAAUUGCAGUGGAUACUGGGUCACUAGAGUGUGGUAGAGGAUAGUGGAAUUUCCGGUGUAGCAGUGAAAUGCGUAGAGAUCGGAAGGAACAUCUGUGGCGAAGGCGACUAUCUGGGCCAACACUGACACUGAGGCACGAAAGCGUGGGGAGCAAACAGGAUUAGAGACCCGCGUAGUCCCUGUCUCUUAUAC
This 301-nucleotide ribosomal RNA is filed under the name uncultured bacterium. RNAcentral describes it as "partial 16S ribosomal RNA". It matches the Rfam family "Bacterial small subunit ribosomal RNA", at positions 509 to 807 of the family's 1533-position model. The record is from RNAcentral.